CCAGAUUAGAUAGUUACUGAUGAUACAAGUUAGACAUCCAAUGACAGCAGACAAAUUCAUCAACUCUCAACAAAAUAUUAUUUUCAUUUGCCAAUAUUAAACUGAAUCCUGUAUUUUUUUUCUUUUGCAGUCCAAUUUGAUAUUCACCUACCUGUGGGUGUUAACAUGCCGAAAACCAAUCGUACAAAGAGAGAACAAAAACGUCAGGCAAUGCGCCGUGCACGUGAUGCUGAGUCAGCUGAAGCACGAGAUGCUCGCCGGGCCAGAAAUGCUGAACUCCAGUCAAGGCUCCGCGCAGCUGAAACCGACAACCAACGGACCACUCGACUGGCCAGCAACGCUGCACUCCAGUCAAGGCUCCGCGCGGCUGAAACCGCCAACCAACAGACCACUCGACUGGCCAGCAACGCUGCACUCCAGUCAAGGCUCCGCGCGGCUGAAACCGACAACCAAUGGACCACUCGACUGGCCAGCAACGCUGCACUCCAGUCAAGGCUCCGGGCGGCUGAAACCGACAACCAACGGACCAUUCGACUGGCCAGCAACGCUGCACUCCAGUCAAGGCUCCGCGCGGCUGAAACGGACAACCAACGGACCACUCGACUGGCCAGCAACGCUGCACUCCAGUCAAGGCUCCGCGCGGCUGAAACCGACAGCCAACGGACCACUCGACUGGCCAGCGAUGCUGCACUCCACUCGAGGCUCCGCGCAGCUGAAACUGAAAACCAACGAUGUUGUCGACUGGCCAGUGACGCCGCCUGUCAUGAAAGGCUUCGAGAUGCUGAAACGCCUGAAGUGUGAGCAUCGCGCCAGAUGCAUGAUCGUGAACAACACCACCGCCACAGAGGGGAGGAUACACCUCAACAGCAAGAGGAACGGUGGGCAAGAGAUGCCCUGUGCCAUCAGGAAACUCAUCCCAUGUGUGGAACAGGCACGUAAAAACAAUCACAACCUCGCUCGUGUGAUGAUGCAAACUUCUUCCAAGAGAAGCUGUAUGGUAAGUACACACACACACUUAGUAAGACCUCACUGUUUGAGUGUCCUACAUGUUCACACUGCAAUGCCUAUGUAUGGAAAGAGGAGAGGAACGGAUUCUGUUGCAUGUCUGGAAAAGUAGAC
RNAcentral lists this long non-coding RNA (1119 nucleotides) under Sparus aurata (gilthead seabream). RNAcentral's name for it is "lncRNA (ENSSAUG00010013192.1)". Lineage: Eukaryota; Metazoa; Chordata; Actinopteri; Spariformes; Sparidae. The record is from RNAcentral.